This 24-nucleotide non-coding RNA is filed under the name Arabidopsis thaliana (thale cress). Lineage: Eukaryota; Viridiplantae; Streptophyta; Magnoliopsida; Brassicales; Brassicaceae. The record is from RNAcentral.
ACUCGGUGGACAAAGCCUUUACCC